CAGUCGCCGCGGUAAUACGUAGGGUGCAAGCGUUAAUCGGAAUUACUGGGCGUAAAGCGUGCGCAGGCGGUUCUAUAAGACAGAUGUGAAAUCCCCGGGCUCAACCUGGGAACUGCAUUUGUGACUGUAGAGCUGGAGUACGGCAGAGGGGGAUGGAAUUCCGCGUGUAGCAGUGAAAUGCGUAGAUAUGCGGAGGAACACCGAUGGCGAAGGCAAUCCCCUGGGCCUGUACUGACGCUCAUGCACGAAAGCGUGGGGAGCAAACAGGAUUAGAUACCCGAGUAGUCCCUGUCUCUUAUAC
This 301-nucleotide ribosomal RNA is filed under the name uncultured bacterium. Its description in RNAcentral is "partial 16S ribosomal RNA". It matches the Rfam family "Bacterial small subunit ribosomal RNA", at positions 509 to 807 of the family's 1533-position model. The record is from RNAcentral.